Molecule: long non-coding RNA, 3107 nt
Filed under: Zea mays
Lineage: Eukaryota; Viridiplantae; Streptophyta; Magnoliopsida; Poales; Poaceae
Description: long non-coding RNA (ZMAY_LNC005911)
Source: RNAcentral
GAGAUCUGCGGGGAAACGCGUAGCUCGGCGCGAGAGGUUGGCAAGGCUCAUGGCGAGGAGAUCAAGCUGGAGGUUGGCGCGGAGCUCGGCCGGCCGAGCUCGUCGCGGCGAGGAGGGUGGAAGUUGCAGAGCGCAUCGAGGACGGGAAGGGCUGGUGGGCGAGGGGGAGAGCGAUGCGGGGAUCGUGGGAGGGUGGGCGUCGGUGGAGGACUGGAGAGAGCGUGCAUCGGACGGGGGAGGAGCUCCACGGCAUAUUGGACGAUCGAGAUAGCUAGAUGGCAGAACGGCAGAACAGAUAGAGGCAGACUACUCUUACAUACUUAAUAUCAACUUUUUGACAAAAAACACAGUCCAAUUACCAAAUCUUAUUCAACCAAAUUUCAAGUAAUCAAUUUGAUCAUCCUUUAAUGCCACUACUUUUAAUUUUAAAAAUACAGAUGACUGUUGGACGCCGACAUCGACCACAAUCUGCAAGCUGAAUUGCCAUAGGUUAUUGGCCAACUCAACAUCUGAAAAUAUAGCAAGAUUUGUUUAGUUCAAUCGAGUUGUGUAGUCUAGCAUAGAUUGUGGUUGAACUAUUCCUUUUAGAAUACUGCAACAUUGUAUUAAGUAAAUCCACACCCAAACUUUGUUUAACAUUAUUGUGGAUCUAACUGAGCCCUCUGGGUUUUGUCCAUUUUCAAAUCAAAUAUAUUUAUGAUUGAGUGAUUGACACUUGGUGGGAUAGAGAAGUGAACCAUUUAUAGGUUAAAAAAUCAUACAAUUCUAUUAUCAGAUGAACGCAGAUAAGGGAAAAGAAUGAUUGCGACAAAAAAGAGACAAGCAUCAAUAUAAUAGUUCAUAACUUUAUCCAAUUAAGUAUGGAAGUUUUGUGAUCAGUAAGCCCCAUUAGAGCUUAGCAAAAACUUGAUGGAAAAAUUGAUUGUAAACAAAUAGGUCAUAUCACCAUUCAAGAAACUUACUUGAUUUGUCAAAGUCGCAGCAGUAUGAGCUCCAACUUCAACAGCUUGUGCUACAACCUACAAGAAAAUGAUUCAUUUGAAGUCCAUUAUGGAAAAGCUAGAGAAGUUUAUUAUUCCUUUCUUCUCUUUUAUGGAGGCUACCCGAGUAUAUGGAUAUGUGGAAUCAUUUGUGCUAUUUAAGAAAUAGCGGAAUUCUGCUUGAUGGUUAAAAAAGGAAAGAGAAAGGUGUAUGCUAGUCACGCACCAUUUUUUAACACUUAAUUGCUUGGUCAGUUUGGUGAUAUAAUGUAUCUCAUAGCUGUCAUAUGAAUUUGAUUUACCAAUAUGCUAUUUACUCAACAUUUAUCUGGAUGAAGCACUCUCUCUAAAAGUUUACAUUCUCAAUUGUGUGCAGGAAACAUGUAUGUUUUUUUUCAUGAGUUAUUAGCCAUCCUCAUGUUUUAGGAUUUAGGGUAAUCACUCCAUUUGGUUCUAUUUUGCAGAUGUUUCUAGAUGUCUAGCAUUACACAUUUUAGUUUGAUCUAGAAUGUUAUGUCUCAUGCUGAUAACGUGCACUGAUCAACAUCCAUGUUCUACAGAAUAUAUAAGAGGAUCCACCUAUUACUCCAUUAGUACAUAUAUUACUCCAUUAGUACACACAAUUACAUGUUAUGAACCCUAAUAGUUGUAAUGUAUGUUCAUCAUUUUAUUGAACCGUAGUGGACAGGCCAGACAGAACUGGUUGAAGAAUGUGUAAUGAACCUGCGGCAUUAAGGAUCCCUGUUAAGGUCCUAUUUGAUUCAGUUGUUGCUUAUUCCAUGGAUGAAAUUGACAUGGUAUUUGUUGCUGUAUAAAAUUCAAUCAACAAUAUCAUACCUUAAAUAAUUAUUGGUGUGUGAAUUGAGAUAUUCAUUUGAGUACUAACCUGUCUUUUUUUGUCUCGUUAAGGUACGACCAAGGUGCUGAUACCCUAUCUUCCGUACCAUGUGCGUGCUUGCUCACUUGUGAAGUAUCUUGGUCAGGAGGACUUAGGAGCACGCUUUUUCCCUUCAACAUCACUUGUGCUCAUGUCAACAGUAUUUUACGAGCAACAACAUAUUUACUGCCACCGGUGUCUGCCAAGCAUGGUGUUCAACUGUUCAUACUGCAGUUGAGCAGGGUAGCACUAUGUAUGAAUCUUCUUUUAGAAUGCAGAAAACACUGCUUACCAAAGCAUUUCUUCCCUCGUCUUUAUGUAAUCCAACCAUCCUUUCGCACAGGCAGCAGAUUUGGUUGCUGUUCGUCGGACGUCAAGCACCCCAGCAGGGUGUCACAACUGUUGGACGCCGACAUCGACGCGGAGGAGGAUGCAGACGCGGACGAUAGCGGCGUCGAUAAGGACGUCGAGCAUGGGUGCGAGAGCCUGAUAACCUCCCAUGCCGCCGUAGGUGGCUGUUUAUUCCUGUAGAUGCCCUUGGCUCACUCAGGCGUGGCCGCUGGCCAGGCGCAGAGGGAGAUGGGCGGUGCUCUCUGCCUCCGUCGCCACUUCGCCACGCCCCCAACAAUAUGGGAGUCAGAGCUAGGGUUUCGGCUAGGAGGCCGCGGCGGGGGCCGAGCUCCCUGGGGAAGUCGUGAGGCGAGAAACGGAUGCAAACAGAGAUCAAAGGGUGAAGGUUUAGGGUUUGAUUGAUGGAUGUGGUUGGGGAAGGGAUGGGGCGGGAGAUGCUCACCUCUGCAGACACAACACGCCGGCGCUGGGGCCACGCGAUUGCGCGCCAGUGCGUCGAUAGGUUGGCCCACGGGGUUGGAGCUGGGGCGGGACGGGAGGGGUUGGAGGGCGCCCACCUCUGCAGCCACGGCACGCCGGUGCAUUGGGAGGCGUGCUCGAGGGAGCAGGCACGAGGUGCACCGGGGGAGGCGACAUUAGGUGCGGUGAUAAAGAGGAGAGGGAGAGGAGCGGUGGCGAGGGCGGUUCCGUGGAGGACGCACUGCACAGCUUGAGCCCGUGGCAGUCGGACGGUGCACAGCUUGAGCCCGUGGCAGUCAGUCGGUGGAGGUUGGCGCGGAGCUCGGCCGGCCGAGCUCGUCGCGGCGAGGAGGGUGGAAGUUGCAGAGCGCAUCGAGGACGGGAAGGGCUGGUGGGCGAGGGGGAGAGCGAUGCGGGGAUCGUGGGAGGGUGGGCGUCGG